UACGAAGGUGGCAAGCGUUGUUCGGAAUCACUGGGCUUAAAGAGCACGUAGGCGGCUUGUCAAGUGCCUUGUGAAAUCCCUCGGCUCAACCGAGGAAUUGCUGGGCAGACUGGCAGGCUUGAGGCAGGUAUGGGCGAGUGGAACUCUUGGUGGAGCGGUGAAAUGCGUAGAUAUCAAGAGGAACGCCGGUGGUGAAGACGACUCGCUGGGCCUGUCCUGACGCUGAGGUGCGAAAGCCAGGGGAG
Molecule: ribosomal RNA, 245 nt
Filed under: uncultured bacterium
Lineage: Bacteria
Description: partial 16S ribosomal RNA
Rfam family: Bacterial small subunit ribosomal RNA
Source: RNAcentral